This 77-nucleotide transfer RNA is filed under the name Budvicia aquatica. Its description in RNAcentral is "tRNA-Arg". It matches the Rfam family "tRNA". From Rfam's summary of the family: Transfer RNA (tRNA) molecules are approximately 80 nucleotides in length. Their secondary structure includes four short double-helical elements and three loops (D, anti-codon, and T loops). Further hydrogen bonds mediate the characteristic L-shaped molecular structure. tRNAs have two regions of fundamental functional importance: the anti-codon, which is responsible for specific mRNA codon recognition, and the 3' end, to which the tRNAs corresponding amino acid is attached (by aminoacyl-tRNA synthetases). tRNAs cope with the degeneracy of the genetic code in two manners: having more than one tRNA (with a specific anti-codon) for a particular amino acid; and 'wobble' base-pairing, i.e. permitting non-standard base-pairing at the 3rd anti-codon position. Lineage: Bacteria; Pseudomonadati; Pseudomonadota; Gammaproteobacteria; Enterobacterales; Budviciaceae. The record is from RNAcentral. RNAcentral also lists the same sequence under 4 other names.
GCUCCCAUAGCUCAGCUGGAUAGAGCAACGGCCUUCUAAGCCGUAGGUCGCAGGUUCGAAUCCUGCUGGGGGCGCCA